This 519-nucleotide ribosomal RNA is filed under the name Triticum aestivum (bread wheat). RNAcentral describes it as "partial small subunit ribosomal RNA". The record is from RNAcentral. Lineage: Eukaryota; Viridiplantae; Streptophyta; Magnoliopsida; Poales; Poaceae.
AUGUUAGUCUGUGUGGUCGACGCCUUGGGAGAACCUACUGAUGGAAAAGGGGCUCUAAGCGAUCACGAAUGAAGACGUGUCGAAGUGAAAGCCCCGGGGAUUAUUGAACGUAAAUAUGUGCAUGAACCCAUGCAAACAGGCUUAAAAGCAGUGGAUAGCCUGGUUCCUAUAGGCCGUGGUCAACGAGAACAUAUAAUCGGGGACAGACAAACUGGAAAAACUGCAAUAGCUAUCGAUACUAUAUUAAACCAAAAGCAAAUGAACUCAAGGGGCACAAAUGAGAGUGAGACAUUGUAUUGUGUCUAUGUUGCGAUUGGACAAAAACGCUCGACUGUGGCACAAUUAGUUCAAAUUCUUUUAGAAGCGAAUUCUUUGGAAUAUUCCAUUCUUGUAGCAGCCACUGCUUCAGAUCCUGCUCCUCUGCAAUUUCUGGCCCCAUAUUCAGGGUGUGCCAUGGGGGAAUAUUUCCGCGAUAAUGGAAUGCACGCAUUAAUUAUAUAUGAUGAUCUAAGUAAAUAG